This 471-nucleotide ribosomal RNA is filed under the name Melanoplus confusus (pasture grasshopper). RNAcentral describes it as "partial 16S ribosomal RNA". It matches the Rfam family "Archaeal large subunit ribosomal RNA", at positions 1939 to 2649 of the family's 2987-position model. Lineage: Eukaryota; Metazoa; Arthropoda; Insecta; Orthoptera; Acrididae. The record is from RNAcentral.
UUUUGAGGUCUAGCCUGCUCACUGAUAAUUUUUAAAGAGCCGCGGUAUUUUGACCGUGCAAAGGUAGCAUAAUCAUUAGUCUCUUAAUUAGGGGCUUGAAUGAAUGGCUUGACGAGAAAUUAACUGUCUCUUAUUAAAUUAUAGAAUUUAACUUUUGGGUCAAAAGGCUUAAAUUUUACUUAAAGACGAGAAGACCCUAUAGAGCUUAAUAUUUAAUUUUUAUAUAAUUUUUAGAUAGUCUUUUUAUAUUUAAAGAUAAUAUUUUGUUGGGGUGACAUGAAGAAUUAAUAAACUCUUCAUUAUAAAAUCAUUGAUUUAUGUYUAUUUUGAUCCAUAAUUUAUGAUCAUAAGAUUAAGUUACCUUAGGGAUAACAGCGUAAUUGUUUUUGAGAGCUCAUAUUGACAAAGCAGAUUGCGACCUCGAUGUUGGAUUAAGAAUAAUUUUGGGUGUAGGAGCCCAGUAAUUAGUCU